GGUCCCGUAGCUCAGCUGGUUAGAGCGUGGUACUAAUAAUUCCUUGGAUAAGGAAUCAUCGGUGAUGCCAAGGUCGCGAGUUCGAUCCUCUCCGGGACCA
This 100-nucleotide transfer RNA is filed under the name Diaporthe ampelina. It matches the Rfam family "tRNA". From Rfam's summary of the family: Transfer RNA (tRNA) molecules are approximately 80 nucleotides in length. Their secondary structure includes four short double-helical elements and three loops (D, anti-codon, and T loops). The record is from Rfam by way of RNAcentral. Lineage: Eukaryota; Fungi; Ascomycota; Sordariomycetes; Diaporthales; Diaporthaceae.